This 339-nucleotide ribosomal RNA is filed under the name uncultured eukaryote. RNAcentral describes it as "SSU rRNA". It matches the Rfam family "Eukaryotic small subunit ribosomal RNA", at positions 594 to 945 of the family's 1831-position model. The record is from RNAcentral.
AUAGCGUAUAUUAAAGUUGUUGCAGUUAAAAAGCUCGUAGUUGAAUUUCUGGCCAGCUCUGUGCAUGGCUCUCUGAGUCGGUUCAGAGCUUGGUCAUCCGUAUGGGAAGCUAGCUCGGCCUUCGCUGGUCGGCUAGUGGAUCAUACACUUUACUUUGAAAAAAUUAGAGUGUUUCAGGCAGGCAAUUGCUUGGAUACUUCAGCAUGGAAUAAUGGAAUAGGACUUUGACCUAUUUGUUGGUUUCUCGAGGUCAAAGUAAUGAUUAAUAGGGACAGUUGGGGGCAUUCGUAUUUAAUUGUCAGAGGUGAAAUUCUUGGAUUUAUUAAAGACGAACUUAUG